UUACUGCUAUCGAGGUUCGACUAAGCCAUGCGAGUCGAAUGUAGCAAUACAUGGCGUACUGCUCAGUAACACGUGGACAACCUACCCUUAGGUCGGGGAUAAACCCGGGAAACUGGGUAUAAUACCCGAUAGAUCUCGACUGCUGGAAUGCAUCGAGAUCCAAAGCUCCGGCGCCUAAGGAUGGGUCUGCGGCCUAUCAGGUAGUAGUGGGUGUAGCGUACCUACUAGCCUACGACGGGUACGGGUUGUGAGAGCAAGAGCCCGGAGAUGGAUUCUGAGACACGAAUCCAGGCCCUACGGGGUGCAGCAGGCGCGAAAACUUUACAAUGCUGGAAACAGCGAUAAGGGGACCUCGAGUGCCAGGUUACAAAUCUGGCUGUCGUGAUGCCUAAAAAGCAUUGCAUAGCAAGGGCCGGGCAAGACCGGUGCCAGCCGCCGCGGUAACACCGGCGGCUCGAGUGGUAACCGUUAUUAUUGGGUCUAAAGGGUCUGUAGCCGGCCGGAUAAGUCUCUUGGGAAAUCCAGCAGCUCAACUGUUGGGCUUUCAGGAGAUACUGUCUGGCUCGAGGCCGGGAGAGGUGAGAGGUACUUCAGGGGUAGGGGUGAAAUCUUGUAAUCCUUGGAAGGACCACCAGUGGCGAAGGCGUCUCACCAGAACGGACCUGACGGCAAGGGACGAAGCUAGGGGC
This 689-nucleotide ribosomal RNA is filed under the name uncultured archaeon. RNAcentral's name for it is "bacterial SSU rRNA". It matches the Rfam family "Archaeal small subunit ribosomal RNA", at positions 24 to 718 of the family's 1478-position model. The record is from RNAcentral.